Molecule: long non-coding RNA, 572 nt
Organism: Crotalus tigris (Tiger rattlesnake)
Lineage: Eukaryota; Metazoa; Chordata; Lepidosauria; Squamata; Viperidae
Exons: 2
Source: RefSeq, a predicted model, not a curated record
CCGACAUUUCCUCCCCCGCUGUCGUUUCGGGCUCCCGCUACGAAGGGGGCGACAUAGGCCGUUGAAGACGGGGGGGAAAGAAGGGUUUAAAAAAGAAAAAAAUUACUCGGUCUGCGCAGGCGCGAAUGCAUAUUGUAAAUUGAAUAAUGGAAGUUUAUUCCAUUAUUUGCUUGUAAAUCUGCCUGGAAUACACGUUGUUGAACUCUCAGCAAGCCUGCAAUGUAAAACAACCAACCUAGAGGAAGAAAUAACAACAACAAUAAUAAUAAGAGUUGAAAGGGACCUUGGAGGUCAUCUAGUCCAACCCCCUGCUCAAGCAGGAAACCCUAGAUCCUUUCAGACCAAUGGCUGUCCAGUCUCUUCUUGAAAACUUCCAGUGUUGGAGCAUUCACAGCUUCUGGAGGCAUAGCAGGAUAAAUAGCAGGAGGGAAAAGGAAAACUCAAGACUCCAUUACUAAAUAUGAGGUAUAAUGAGCAGCUAAAUUUUAAAUUAAGUAGUCCAAAGCCUGAGAAAGCCAUCAUCUUCAUAUCUUCUCAUGUAAUAAAGUGGAACUGAAUUUGUUUUCGCCCAA